This 569-nucleotide long non-coding RNA is filed under the name Phoenix dactylifera (date palm). Its description in RNAcentral is "long non-coding RNA (PDAC_LNC002884)". Lineage: Eukaryota; Viridiplantae; Streptophyta; Magnoliopsida; Arecales; Arecaceae. The record is from RNAcentral.
UGAGGUCGCGGAUUGCUAUUCAUGGAGGAGUUUCUGUUAUAUCCAUCUUCUUGAUUGUUGUAGUUCGCGGCUUGGAUCCUUGUGAGUCGAAAUUACAUCAUCCGUUGUUCUUGCCACGGCCUCUUCCCCUUUGAGCAACAAAGGCAUGAUCAUUAUUUGUUGCCUCUGCUUUUUCUUCAUCAUCUUGCAAAGCUAGCUGCUGCCCCAAGCCCUGUAAGCCCGUUACAAUUAUUGACUGAAAGUUAGAUAUGAUUGUUUUGAUAGAACUGCCUAGUCGCAGGCCUGGUAACGAGGUCCCAAGCAUCUUGCCAGUUGGAAGACUUUGUCUACUUCCUCCAUGGGCUGUUGUAUAGCUAUGAGACUGACAUAAGAGUUUGAACUUCCUGACAAACUCAUCCAACGGCUGAUUUCCCUUCAUCAUAGCCAGUUGGAUCUUUAGCUGCAUUUCUUUCUCCUUUGUAGAUGUGAGAAACUGUUCCUCCAAGCAUCUCCAGAUUUGUCAUGUAAUGCUACAGUGGACAGCUAAACCAAGGACUUCCUGUCAUGGGUUCUAGGAGCCCACUAGUAAG